GCGGAUGUAGCCAAGUGGAUUAAGGUAGUGGAUUGUGAAUCCACCAUGCGCGGGUUCAAUUCCCGUCGUUCGCC
This 74-nucleotide transfer RNA is filed under the name Chionanthus macrobotrys. RNAcentral describes it as "tRNA-His". It matches the Rfam family "tRNA". From Rfam's summary of the family: Transfer RNA (tRNA) molecules are approximately 80 nucleotides in length. Their secondary structure includes four short double-helical elements and three loops (D, anti-codon, and T loops). Lineage: Eukaryota; Viridiplantae; Streptophyta; Magnoliopsida; Lamiales; Oleaceae. The record is from RNAcentral.